UUAGACUUUUAGAAAUCAGAGACUCUUAGAUGUUUUGCUGUCCUUAGGAUUCUGGUUUGAAUGUUUGCUGUGCCUCCUGCUUUAAAGUCCUCAUGUCUACACUCUGUGUGUCACCUUUUCUUUGAAUUCUGACUGAAUGGCCUCAAGCUGAUGCUACAGUUUAACUCUGAAGACAAAGCUGUGUUUCUAAACCGAGUGAUCGGGGAAGACACUGUUCUCGUACUUCCUCAGAAAGGCUCUAGGUUCUCAUCAAACACCUGAGACAGGGCUGCAGAGAUAGGCAGAGCACUUCCCUCCCAAGGGGAGGACUUGAGUUUGAAUCCCCAGAACGCACAUCCAAGUGGGAUGCAGCAGCAAAGGCCCUUUGUCUACCAAACUCAACUGUAUGCCAUUUACUCUCCAUCCUGCUAGUGACUCUAAAUGCCUUUGUGCAAAAUGAGAUCAAGUAAGAGCUGCACGAGGACAUGGGUUAUAAGAAACAAGGAAGGCCUGGAAGAAGUCUAUCUAUGGAUAGUGAGGCUGGCUGGGAAACUGCUCACUAUUCUCCAUUCUCUUCCUGCUAGAGGCUUCCAGUUGUUGGUGAGAUAACUUCUCCCCCAUUCCAGUCUGCUUCUCAACAUUUAAUCCUUCAAUCUCUGUAUCUUAUCUGGGUGACCUGUAUAGAGAAGUUCUGACUGCAGUUGCCUGUCCAGGGCAUAAGUCCCCGAGUGAGUGAAUUCCAGAUUGUUCUAAAACCACAUAGUACGUGGCAGUUGCUGAGCAUGUAAUUAUGUGGAAGAGGAAACUGCACUACAUCCAAACACAUUUCAUAUAAAGUCAAUCCUCAUGCUUAGAUACUAAUCAGUUAUUUUUACAUCCUUCACAACUUUUGCUGUUCACUGUGUUGGGAAGUGUGAAUUUGUAUUAUAUUUCAUUUCUGCAAAGGAAGAGACAGUUUAGCCC
Mastomys coucha (southern multimammate mouse) is the source of this 942-nucleotide long non-coding RNA. RefSeq lists it as uncharacterized. The transcript is spliced from 3 exons. NCBI's taxonomy places the organism in Eukaryota, Metazoa, Chordata, Mammalia, Rodentia, Muridae. The record is from RefSeq and is a predicted model, not a curated record.